This 55-nucleotide non-coding RNA is filed under the name unclassified sequences. The record is from RNAcentral.
GGUGAUGACACCCACUCCGGUGGGUGUAAACCCCUGGCAGCGGUUCAAAGGCCGU